CUAGUUACUGAUAGCUGUGGUUUUAGCAGUCUCAGUUGACCUUUUAAAACUUUUCAUUGGCAAUUCCAAGAAAAUGAUGCUGAUUGGUGUAUUAAUUACAAUGUCUUACUUCGUUCACUUUGCAGCUAGCAGUAGGCCAGAGCUCUCAGUUGUGCAAUACCCUGAAGAUGCCAGUGUGCUCAUUAACUCCACAACCUGGAUGCUGUGUGUCUUUGAAUACCCCAAUGACGAGAAUGAGGAGCCAGUUGUGUACUGGAGGAAGGGCCCCAGCUGCAACAACCAGCAGAGUCUUCGGUCAAGCUCAGGCACCGACAGACCACAUACACACAUUACAAAGGAUGUGUUCAGGGGAUACUCCAUCUUAAAACUGAGCAAUGUUGACCAAAAUGCCAGCAACUUUUAUUUCUGUGAUGUGACGCUAACCCAGAAAACCCAGGGCAAAUGUGGAAAUGGCACCAAGCUGACAGUACAAGAUUUCAAAUGUAAAGACUGUACAAGAUCAGAAACGACCGGGUGGUGGUGGUGGUUCCUUCUUGGAUACACCAUCUUUGUCACCACAGUUAUCAUGGCUUUUGGUAUUUACCAGUGCUGUAAAAAGUGCAAGAAUGAGUCAAGAAAUAGAGAUAGCAGCGCUACCCUGAAAAGUGAAUGGACUUAUGACAAGCCAUCCAGAGCAGUUAAUAAUGGGUUUAACCAAGAAUAUGAAGAUAUGUCACUAGUAAGAACUUUAGUCACAUUGAAAGGAAAAUGA
RNAcentral lists this long non-coding RNA (751 nucleotides) under Anser brachyrhynchus (Pink-footed goose). RNAcentral describes it as "lncRNA (ENSABRG00000010911.1)". Lineage: Eukaryota; Metazoa; Chordata; Aves; Anseriformes; Anatidae. The record is from RNAcentral.